This 430-nucleotide ribosomal RNA is filed under the name Acidobacteriota bacterium. RNAcentral's name for it is "Acidobacteria bacterium partial 16S ribosomal RNA". It matches the Rfam family "Bacterial small subunit ribosomal RNA", at positions 355 to 776 of the family's 1533-position model. Lineage: Bacteria; Pseudomonadati; Acidobacteriota. RNAcentral also lists the same sequence under 1 other name. The record is from RNAcentral.
UGGGGAAUCUUGCGCAAUGGGCGAAAGCCUGACGCAGCAACGCCGCGUGUGUGAUGAAGGUCUUCGGAUCGUAAAGCACUGUCGCGAGGGACGAAUAAGCCUUUGGCUAACAUCCAGGGGCGAUGACGGUACCUCGAGAGGAAGCACCGGCUAACUCUGUGCCAGCAGCCGCGGUAAUACAGAGGGUGCGAGCGUUGUUCGGAAUUAUUGGGCGUAAAGCGCGUGUAGGCGGCUUGGCAAGUCGGAUGUGAAAGCCCUCGGCUUAACCGAGGAAGUGCGUUCGAAACUGCCUGGCUUGAGUACCGGAGAGGGUGGCGGAAUUCCCGGUGUAGAGGUGAAAUUCGUAGAUAUCGGGAGGAACACCAGCGGCGAAGGCGGCCACCUGGACGGAUACUGACGCUGAGACGCGAAAGCGUGGGGAGCAAACAGG